UUUGAUAGAAUAGAUCAAAGCUUUGGUUUCUAUGAUCGUUCUUACAUAAGAAACUGUGACCAUGAGAAUUUUUUAUGCCUUUCUUUCCAGAUGACGAUACUAGCAUGGGUCCAGACAUAUCCGAGGUAUCAGUCUAUCCAUCUAUCCUUGAGUUCUUUAGCGAUUUAACAACGAUUUCUUCUUUGAUUCUUCCCAGGAGGAACCAUCUCUUUCAUCAUCGAAGCUAACGGAGGACAACGAUGGAGAAGAACAGGUAAUCCACAGUAUCGGGCUCUCGAUUUGAUUUAACUUUGAUCGGUUCAUAGACUGGAUCCGAGUGUGAGGUGACCCAAAAGGACGACGAGGACGAUCACAGCGACGAGGACGAAGACAAUGGCGGGCGCGAGAGCUCGGACGUGGACGACGGUGGCAAGAACGACGACGACGAGGAUGGCGGCGGCGGCGGCGGCGGCGAUGGCGAGGAGGAAGCCGGAGGGGGCGACGAUCCAAGCUACGAGGAAGAGGAAGGAGAAGAGGACGAGGAAGAAGAAGUGGAGGAGGACGAUGGGGAUGAGCCCUACGAGGAGGAGGAAGAUGACGAGGAAGACGAAGAAGACGAGGAAGAUAACAAUGACGAAGACGAGGAGCCUCCCAAGAAGCGAAAGAAGUGAAACGGGCAAAAAGGAGUUUAGGGUUCUUCUUUUUAAGAGACAAUUUGAUUUUAGGGUUUCUUAGCGAAUAUUAUCAAGAAUAUGCUUUUAAAAAUUUUGCCCAAACCCUAAGUAAACUUUCUCUUUAGCAAGAAAAGUUGACAUUUGAC
This 799-nucleotide long non-coding RNA is filed under the name Selaginella moellendorffii. RNAcentral describes it as "long non-coding RNA (SMOE_LNC001277)". Lineage: Eukaryota; Viridiplantae; Streptophyta; Lycopodiopsida; Selaginellales; Selaginellaceae. The record is from RNAcentral.